RNAcentral lists this ribosomal RNA (253 nucleotides) under uncultured bacterium. RNAcentral describes it as "partial 16S ribosomal RNA". It matches the Rfam family "Bacterial small subunit ribosomal RNA", at positions 524 to 776 of the family's 1533-position model. The record is from RNAcentral.
CACGUAGGGUGCGAGCGUUGUCCGGAAUUACUGGGCGUAAAGAGCUCGUAGGUGGUUUGUCGCGUUGUCCGUGAAGACUCACAGCUUAACUGUGGGCGUGCGGGCGAUACGGGCAGACUGGAGUACUGCAGGGGAGACUGGAAUUCCUGGUGUAGCGGUGGAAUGCGCAGAUAUCAGGAGGAACACCGGUGGCGAAGGCGGGUCUCUGGGCCGAUACUGACGCUGAGGAGCGAAAGCGUGGGGAGCGAACAGG